Papaver somniferum (opium poppy) is the source of this 2460-nucleotide long non-coding RNA. RefSeq lists it as uncharacterized. Lineage: Eukaryota; Viridiplantae; Streptophyta; Magnoliopsida; Ranunculales; Papaveraceae. The record is from RefSeq and is a predicted model, not a curated record. The transcript has 3 exons.
UGACAUUUUAUUACGCUAUUCUUCUUUUUUAAUCAAGACGUUUCUUUUCUUCUCGAUGUUUGGUGAAAAAAACUGAAAAGACUUCUUGAUUCGCUACUAAUUCUUUGCUGGUGUUUGGAACUAAUUAUCAUCAUCUUCAAUGCUGACGAAGUUCUUCCUACUAAUCCCACGAAUCAAUCAACUACCAUCCGCUAUUGUAUUAUUGUUGGUCCAUAAGGAAUGAAAGCAGCUUUUGACCUCAAGUUGUAGUAAUAAAUCUUACAAUUAGGGAUGCUCUCAAUCUUUUUGCUUAAAGGUUUAAACCAAGGUAAAGAAUGGAAGAUUCUACUGAUGAAAGAUGCAUGCUUGGAACUCCAAUCCAACCUAAUUAAUGUGUCAUGAACCCUAUAUUUUUGUAGGAGCUUGCUAUAUUUUAUGCGCUCAAUCACUGUCAUAGGCCAUGGAUUUCAUAUAUAUCUAGGCCGGGGAGGAGAUAAAUCAAUGGACGUGGUCUUUAAGUUAUUUUACUUUAAUUUCUAACUUUAUCUUUGCUAAUUCCCAUAUUAAGAUCCGGUGGUUAUGCGGAUAACUAGCUCAAUUUAUGUCGCAGAUGGAAGAAUGUUCUCUUGAUUUUCUAAUGGGUAGUUGAUUUUCUUCGCAAUUUUUGUUUUGUGGUGUACCUCAUGUGAUUUUAGGUCUGUAGUUCAGUAAUUUGUGCUUCUUUCCAUUUUAUGAAUUCUGAUUUCAGUUAUUUUGUUAACAAUUGUUGGUAACUAUUUACCUUUAAUUUGUUGUUCAUCAAUUUGUUUCUCUUUUCAUUUAUGAAUCCUCUUCCAUUCUAUGCGCCAUAAUAUGUUUCUUUUGGUUAUUUUGCUAUCGGGACAAUGUUGAUAGGGAAAAAUGAGUUGAUUGAUCUAUUUAAUUCGGUGAACUUAGCUGCAGGUGAUUCUUUUACUGAUCGGGUGAACGGUUAACCAUUAUGAUUUAUUAGUAUGCUCAAUUGAUCAUCUUUAUGUCUAUGUUAUUCGUGCUACGACGUUCUUACAUUGGCAGAUUCAAGAGAUCGCCAUUGGCAUUCCUUCAUAGGUUAGUAUUUAAGAAAUUGGAUGUUGGAGCAGAUAUGGGAAACUAAUCGUAGUGAGGCUAAGACAGCGAUUUGAUACAAACUCUGUUAUGGUGUUCAUAAAUUUGUGUCUAAGGACAAGUCACAUAUGAGAUGGAAAUGUAAUUCCUUCAUUAAAAAUUUAUUGUGUGUGGGGGUGGUCGGUCGGUGACUUAACUAUCCGAGCAAAAAGCAAACAUAAAAAGUAUAGAGGAAUGAACUUGGUACCUACUUUUGAGGAUGCUUCAAUGAGAAGACAUCCUAAAAGUGGUGAUUGGUACAUCUUUAAAGCUUAAAUAUUUGUUUUUAUUGUUCGCAUUUCUUUAAGUUCAAAUUGUGAAUUUAUUUUGCGUGGCUUAGCAAAAAGAAAAAAAUGAUCCUCGAUUGAUGCUUAUGCUAUUGAUGGCCUGAGAUAAAUCUAAAAUCUACGUUCAUUUCAGAUUUCUCACAUAUUGUGUUUCUUUUUAUUUUUGCAUUUGUUUAUAUUUUAUCCCGUAUUUGUUGUUUUGAUUGCUUUCCAAUGCCCAUGAACUCUAAAUAUCAUGUUUCAUAUAAAGAAGUAUAUAUAUCUUCGGGUAUCACAAUACGAGUGCCUGGAUAAAACAUAAUGUUGAUACAUGGUUUCAAACUCGCAUGCUAAAAGACUCAAAUACUGGAAAGUAGUCUACGUGACUUGUAGUCCAAGUUUAGACAGAUAUAGUGCAUAUUUGCUUCUAGGAAUUUUGUUGCGUGUGCCGCCUUUCCUAGCUCCAUGUUUUGCAAGUUUGGAAAUUUUGUGCACGUUAAAUAUAAGUCUUCUUUAGAUAAUAAUUUUAACAAUGAAACUUUAGUAUUUAGAUCCUGUUAAAGGUAAAAAAACUUUUUUCUCUAGGUAUCCUGCAAGCAUCCAAGAUGAGGGGAAUGUAUAUUGGCUUGAAGUUUUAGAUGCAUAUCAGAUUGUAAGAGGUCAAACAGUUCCUGGAAACCUGGUGCAGAGAUGAACAAGCUUGUUACUGCAUUUUAGAGCGAAUACGUUAAUCAUUUGAAUGACAAGAUCAUAAAAAUAGUAAUGUUGUGAAGAACUUCUGAUACCUCGCAUGGGAGUAGAAGGGAUACUUAUAUACAUCCAAAAGUUGAAAAGCAGACUAGGUUUGUUAUGGAUGAUUCAGUGAGUACAUAUAAAUCGUGACAAUGACAUUACAUUCAUUUGCAGGUGCGGUAUAUUGAUUUAAAACGCCGUAAAUUUGUGAAAACCAUUCCGAAUUAGUUUUUUCCACUAUAAUGGUUUUACUUUUAUUUUUAGAGAUGGUAAUCACAAUUGUUCCGUAAAUUGUAAAUUCAAAUUUAUUCAUUGUUGAUUUAGAUGAUCAAAGUGGGAAACUAAUCCCAAAAAUUAUACA